GAUGAACGCUGACAGAAUGCUUAACACAUGCAAGUCUUUGGCGAAGCUGUGCUUGCACAGCCUAGCCAAGGCGGACGGGUGAGUAACGCGUAAGGGACUUGCCCUGCAGUCAGGGAUAACAGACGGAAACGACUGAUAAAACCUGAUAAAGUCAGGCGGACCCAUGUCCAGCCUGAUGAAAAGGAAUGCUGCAGGAGAGCCUUGCGUCCUAUUAGCUUGUUGGUGGGGUAACGGCCCACCAAGGCGAUGAUAGGUAGCCGGCCUGAGAGGGUGGACGGCCACAAGGGGACUGAGAUACGGCCCUUACUCCUACGGGAGGCAGCAGUGGGGAAUAUUGGACAAUGGGGGCAACCCUGAUCCAGCAAUUCUGUGUGCACGAUGAAGGUCUUCGGAUUGUAAAGUGCUUUCAGCAGGG
Molecule: ribosomal RNA, 415 nt
Filed under: Leptotrichia wadei
Lineage: Bacteria; Fusobacteriati; Fusobacteriota; Fusobacteriia; Fusobacteriales; Leptotrichiaceae
Description: bacterial SSU rRNA
Rfam family: Bacterial small subunit ribosomal RNA
Source: RNAcentral